CGGCCGGCUCCUCUCCCGCCCGCGCCGCCUCCUCCUCCCCACCAGCGCCUCCCUCUCCUCCUUCCCGCCGCCACCCGGCCUUGGGGAAAGAUUUCGACUGCAUCCAGAGAGGGAAAGAUUUCGAGGGGGAGGAGAAGGGGAGAGCAGAGAAGCUUGGAGGGCGGCGGGCGGCGGCGAUGGACGGCGAGUGGUGGAGGAAGAAGUGGGUGGCGUGGGCGGCGGCGGCGGCGGCGGCCAUCUUCGUGGUGCUGCCCCCUCCCCCUCGCGCCGCCGCCCUCAGAGAAGCACCGCAGCCCACCGCCCCUAGCCGCCCCAUCCCCGUGCCUUCCCGUGCUCGCUCCUCCCCUCCCUUCCCAGCCGCCACUCCCCUCCCCUCCCCGGUCUCUGUUCCGCCGUCAUCGCCAUUGCCACUACUGGCCGUCACCAUCGCCGGGAGGAGGCCGAGCGAAGCGGGCCGCUUGUGCUGGAGACCAAGCCGCCUCUCCCUCCCGCGCGGUCGCGGCUCCCUCCUGCCCCUCGUCGCCGUCCCUGCCCCAACCACCGCACCCUCUCCCUCCCCCUACCGUCGGCCUCUCCCCAGGCGGCGGCCAGAUCUGCCACCGCCACGGUGGGGGCUUCUUAAUCCGCGCCGUCGUCGAGCUGGACGCGGCCGUCAACCUCGUACCACACCGCCGCCGCCAUGGAUGCACCAUAUCAAGGAACUGAUGCUGCUGCUAGCCUUGUAGUUAGUUGGGUGCUUGAUAAUUUCUCCAGGUGGAUGAGCACAAUAUGAAACAUGGACAUCCCUGUUGCAUCCUUCCGAAGCACUAGCCCCUCUCAAGUUUAUAGGAAGUUGCUGAAAUCAAAGAGGAGCAGCAAAAGAUCGAUGAGGCUAUUAAAAUCAUGCAGGAUGUUGUUCAUUGAAGGGGUGCCACUUGGCUGGCAGCAGGAAGUAAGCGAUCAACAUCAUCAAGAUCCGCUUGAAGGACAACACCAUGGAAGAUGCUCAAUGACCAGAUCGUCGUCCUCUCCGAGAGGAGGGGCCAGCUCAAGCAGGUACAACUAGCUCACCACAGCUCGCUCCUCCUCCCUCUUCUCUGUUUCGUGUUCGAUUGUUCAGAAACGUAACUUAUAUGUGGUGGAUGACUAAGCAAGUGGUUGAAUGAGAACUGAAACCUUUCACUUUUAAGGUUUGAGAUUGUUAUGAACUGCGAGUAUUUCAUAAAAAAAAUUCAGUUCAUAUAAAGCAAAAGAAAGGCAUGCAGUAACUUACAUUGACAGUGUGAUUGUUAACCCCUUAUGAUAUUGGAAACCUGAUAAAUAAUACAUUUUAUGACUGAAUGUUUAACGUGGGACUAGGAGACCCCCAGUUCUGUUUGGUACAUGAAUCUUCUUAUAUUUUGUCCAUUCUUUUUUAUUUUGAUCAAGAAGUCAUAUGGUAGUAUUAUUAGUGAUAUUUGUCAUUUACUUUAAGUUUUCAAGCACACAUUUAGUUUAGGUAAAUCUAAACUAAAUCUGUGAGCUUUGUCAUUUUUCAAGCACACAUUUAGUGAUAUUUUUCAUUUAUUGAAGGGGAGCCUUGGCGCAGUGGUAAAGCUGCUGCCUUGUGACCAUGAGGUCAUGGGUUCAAGUCCUGGAAACAGCCUCUUACAGAAAUGUAGGGAAAGGCUGCGUACUAUAGACCCAAAGUGGUCGGACCCUUCCCUGGACCCUGCGCAAGCGGGAGCUACAUGCACCAGGUUGCCCUUUUUUUUUUGAAGUUAUCCAGUUUUCACUGGGAGAAUCUCACAGAUUAGAUAGCACAAACUGUGAGCUUUGAGUAUCAUAUUUCUUUAAGUGGAAUCAUUGUGAUUUGGACUACAGGAAUGGCCGUCACUCCUGCAGUUCAUUUUGUCAACUGGUCGCAUGGUUGAUUAGAAAAAGAUCAUUUGAGGGUCCAUGCGUAUUGUGGUUGUAGUUCUGCGAAUCAAAAUGUUAUUCUUGGUUGCUAGAUUAAUUUGGUUAUUCAGUCGGCUCCCAAUUUCCAGUUUCUAAUUAUAUGAGGAAAUGGUGUUUUAAUGUUAAUUAAUUUGUUCGGUACUUCUGUUUUCUAAUUCUUUGCUUGAUGUGCUUUCAAUUGGGAGCUCUCCACUCGAAAAAUACCUCAACGCCCAGCCACCUCUUCACCACCACACGCCAGUCAGCGCACGAGGCAGCGGAACUGGAUUUGUCUUCGUCCAGGGAAGUGAAGUCGUCUGCUCCUGUGCGGUGCUGGGCCAACGACCUCCGCUUCUCUUCUCCAUGGACAAACUUCAAAAGGCAACAGCAAGCCAUAUCAAGGGAGGGGAUUGAAGUCACCCCACCUCAAAUCCAUGGGCGCCAUCCACAAGAACCGUGGCCAGGACAAGGAGGCGGACAUCUUCGCACUGCUUUUUGGCGGAGGGCGACGCAGAUUUGCGAGCCUUGUGGCGCAGGUUGACCGGCCGGUGCCGCGCGAAUCUGGUUCGACGAGGUCGUUGGCGACCUGCUGCGGUGGCGGGAUAACAGGAUCAGCUCCGGGAUGUCCGGGGCACGCUGCUGCCGCUCGUGCAGCAGAAUGGCGGCCGCAGCGGCGAUGCAAAAGUUCUUCGUUCACUUCCACGUCCCGAAAGACAUCAAGAUAACACACGGAGGCCCAUUCGUCUUUCGGCCAGCAGCCUUCUCGCCAACUAAGGCAUUUCUACUCGGUCCUUUUCUUUUAGCCUGCUGCAGGGACCAAACACUAUACCUUCUUCUUCGGUCUUCAAUCUGUUUUCUUCUUCAAUGAAGCUAACCACGACAUCCUGCACGUACUGCACCGCUCCCAGAGUUUCCACGGUGCGGCGGCUCGAACUGACGCUCUCAGCCACGGCGCGCCUGGAUCAGUCAGGUUGAUCGAGGGACAAUACUGGCAACCGCUCGUCCGUGCUGAUCUUCGACCGAGAUAGAGUUCAGGUUAUCACACCAUAUGAAGUGAAAGCGCCGUUGGGACUGCUCGCGGUGCAUAGAACUUCCAUGGCAGCACGGGCGAUUCCAAGGCCCACUUGAGCUCCUCCUGCUGAUGUCAGACGGUGAGGUUUCUCAACCUCCACUCUAUUAGCCAUGGCGCGAACCCGAUCUAGUAGAUAUGAAGAAGAAGAAGAAGAGGAGGAGAAAGAAGAAGGCGUUUCCACGGAACGCUAGUGUUGGAGAACAUGUGUCUUGUCCCUCCGUGUGAAUGCGAUGGGAGACAAGCGGCCUGAGGGGGUUUUGGUUUGGGUCGGGGGCGUUGGGGGGUUUGAUGACCUGAAAUUAAGAAGGUGAUCGCAGAUGGCAGGCGGCGACGCACAAACCGCCAACCCCUGCCCAACUCCUCCUCUUGAAAAUGAUUCCCCCGGCACGCCGCGGUCCCGUCUCAAGCAUUAAGCGCUAAGCCAUUAAGACGCAUUUAAUCUGGGCAGAUGGAGGGUGACGCCGCGGCCACCACGGGGGGAGCUGGAGCUGGGCAUUCUGCAGGCCCUACUUCUGAGAGCACAGUAUUAAUCUGAUGGCAACCAACCAAUCAUAUGGAAAUUCAGGCGACCACAGAAAUCUACUCCCUCCAUCCUUUAAAAAGUGUACUUCCAACUUUGUUGGAGGGUCAAACUAUCUCAAUGUUUGACUGAGUUUGUGCAAAAAUAUAUCAAUGUUUAUGAAA
Molecule: long non-coding RNA, 3652 nt
Organism: Triticum aestivum (bread wheat)
Lineage: Eukaryota; Viridiplantae; Streptophyta; Magnoliopsida; Poales; Poaceae
Exons: 12
Source: RefSeq, a predicted model, not a curated record